AUGAGAAGGCGAAAGUGGGCAGGCAAUCCUAGAUGCUCGUUUUGCAAUGAUGUGGAAACCUCGCAACACCUUUUCUUUACCUGUCCUGUUGCUCGGGUGGUCUGGAGGACGGUGGGGUGUGUUUUGGGCACAUCGCUAUGUCCAAACAACAUUUGGCAGUACUUUUCCUGGUGUUACAUAUUCCUUCCUGAUGGAGCAAAGUUUUAUACCUUUGGUUUGGCAGCUAUCUGUUGGGCAAUUUGGAACAGUCGCAAUCAGGCUACCUUUGAGCACAAAGUUCUUAAAAGUCCAUUUAAUGUGGUAUAUGCUGCUUCUGGUUUUUGGACAUACUGGGCAUGUUUGAUGGCUGGUGAGGAGCGGGAGUCCAUGGAGCGCGGAGCCAAGAUGCUCAGGUCAAAUUCUUCGACGAUGAUGAGGAUCUGUGCGGCUCCAUCAACGACGAACUGA
Molecule: ribosomal RNA, 447 nt
Filed under: Triticum aestivum (bread wheat)
Lineage: Eukaryota; Viridiplantae; Streptophyta; Magnoliopsida; Poales; Poaceae
Description: partial small subunit ribosomal RNA
Source: RNAcentral